This 424-nucleotide ribosomal RNA is filed under the name uncultured bacterium. RNAcentral's name for it is "bacterial SSU rRNA". It matches the Rfam family "Bacterial small subunit ribosomal RNA", at positions 355 to 796 of the family's 1533-position model. The record is from RNAcentral.
UGGGGAAUAUUGGACAAUGGGGGCAACCCUGAUCCAGCAAUGCCGCGUGAGUGAUGAAGGCCUUCGGGUUGUAAAGCUCUUUUGUCAGGGACGAUAAUGACGGUACCUGACGAAUAAGCUCCGGCUAACUUCGUGCCAGCAGCCGCGGUAAUACGAAGGGAGCUAGCGUUGUUCGGAAUUACUGGGCGUAAAGGGCGCGUAGGCGGCUUUAUAAGUCAGAUGUGAAAUCCCUGGGCUUAACCUAGGAAUGGCAUUUGAAACUGUAAGGCUAGAGAUCGAGAGAGGAUAGUGGAAUUGCGAGUGUAGAGGUGAAAUUCGUAGAUAUUCGCAAGAACACCGGUGGCGAAGGCGGCUAUCUGGCUCGAUACUGACGCUAAGGCGCGAAAGCGUGGGGAGCAAACAGGAUUAGAUACCCCCGUAGUCC